CAGUCGCCACGGUAAUACGUAGGUGGCAAGCGUUGUCCGGAAUUAUUGGGCGUAAGGGGUUCGCAGGCGGUUUCUUAAGUCUGAUGUGAAAGCCCCCGGCUCAACCGGGGAGGGUCAUUGGAAACUGGGAAACUUGAGUGCAGAAGAGGAGAGUGGAAUUCCACGUGUAGCGGUGAAAUGCGUAGAGAUGUGGAGGAACACCAGUGGCGAAGGCGACUCUCUGGUCUGUAACUGACGCUGAGGAGCGAAAGCGUGGGGGGCGAACAGGAUUAGAUACCCGUGUAGUCCCUGUCUCUUAUAA
RNAcentral lists this ribosomal RNA (301 nucleotides) under uncultured bacterium. RNAcentral describes it as "partial 16S ribosomal RNA". It matches the Rfam family "Bacterial small subunit ribosomal RNA", at positions 509 to 809 of the family's 1533-position model. The record is from RNAcentral.